Molecule: long non-coding RNA, 758 nt
Organism: Olea europaea var. sylvestris
Lineage: Eukaryota; Viridiplantae; Streptophyta; Magnoliopsida; Lamiales; Oleaceae
Exons: 2
Source: RefSeq, a predicted model, not a curated record
CCGUUCGAGAAUGAAAAUUAUAAAGCUUUGCUGGUUGAUCAACAAUGUAGUUAGAAAUCAACUUCUUGACAUUUGGUGGAAGCAAGUGCAUCUUGCGAUCGAGAGUUGGAACAGGAAGCAAGAACCUUUCCUUUACACAGAGGAAAGUGAAAGUUUCUUAUAAUCGAAAUGAUUGCAAUGUAAAGCUGCAGUUUUCUUCAUACAGUAGUUCAUAUCGGUUGGUCGAGUUCUGAAACCAACCAUCAUGUGCCCUCAGGUUCUUAAUAUUUUGGAGUUUCUACAGCAUGUUUCUGGGUUAAAACAAGAAUUAGUUGUGUUAUUAAGUUGCACUCUGUACAUACGGUUUUGAGAUAUGUUUUUCCUGUACUUUGUUUGUUAGUUUGUAUGUGUGUUUAAGAUAUCUAUUUUCUUUCUAUGUGGACUCAACAAGACUGAAUUGCAUAUGCUUCUUCUGGGUUUCUGCUCAUUCUUUUCUUGUUUGGAGUUAGGGCCGGAAAAAUAUAAAGAGUGACGAGGUUGAAGAUCCGUGAUGCACGACUUUUUAUUCAACGAACACUUCCACCAAGGCAUUGGCUUAAUUUUCUCAACCAAAAUGUGGUCAAGUUGGAAAUACAGAAGCUCCCAGUAUUCAAGUGUCAUUUUUUGGUGAAAACCUUGUGUAACUAUGAUGUACAGUGCGAAUUCAUUUUUACCCAGAAAGUUUGCAGCCCCAUUUCGAAGCACUUGGCAAAGCUAUGCUAAGCUCUUAAAAUCAAAUA